AAAUUGAAGAGUUUGAUCAUGGCUCAGAUUGAACGCUGGCGGCAGGCCUAACACAUGCAAGUCGAACGGUAACAGAAAGCAGCUUGCUGCUUUGCUGACGAGUGGCGGACGGGUGAGUAAUGUCUGGGAAACUGCCCGAUGGAGGGGGAUAACUACUGGAAACGGUAGCUAAUACCGCAUAACGUCGCAAGACCAAAGAGGGGGACCUUCGGGCCUCUUGCCAUCGGAUGUGCCCAGAUGGGAUUAGCUAGUAGGUGGGGUAACGGCUCACCUAGGCGACGAUCCCUAGCUGGUCUGAGAGGAUGACCAGCCACACUGGAACUGAGACACGGUCCAGACUCCUACGGGAGGCAGCAGUGGGGAAUAUUGCACAAUGGGCGCAAGCCUGAUGCAGCCAUGCCGCGUGUAUGAAGAAGGCCUUCGGGUUGUAAAGUACUUUCAGCGGGGAGGAAGGGAGUAAAGUUAAUACCUUUGCUCAUUGACGUUACCCGCAGAAGAAGCACCGGCUAACUCCGUGCCAGCAGCCGCGGUAAUACGGAGGGUGCAAGCGUUAAUCGGAAUUACUGGGCGUAAAGCGCACGCAGGCGGUUUGUUAAGUCAGAUGUGAAAUCCCCGGGCUCAACCUGGGAACUGCAUCUGAUACUGGCAAGC
RNAcentral lists this ribosomal RNA (651 nucleotides) under Escherichia coli. Its description in RNAcentral is "bacterial SSU rRNA". It matches the Rfam family "Bacterial small subunit ribosomal RNA", at positions 1 to 641 of the family's 1533-position model. Lineage: Bacteria; Pseudomonadati; Pseudomonadota; Gammaproteobacteria; Enterobacterales; Enterobacteriaceae. The record is from RNAcentral.